UCCUUCGAUUCAGUUUCUUUUUCUUUCCUUGAUUUUUCCUUGUAGGUCUCUGUGUUCUUCCAACCUAGAAGAUAUCGGUUUGCAUUCUUAACUCGUUUUCUGUUUUAUCUUCUUUUUCUUCUAUGUGAUUUAAGAGGCAAGAUGAAGGUUUAGUGAUCGAGAGAAAAAGGAAUUGAUCGAAGAAUAGUUUUCGGCAGUGAUACUGAUUCGAGUGGUGGAUCCAGAAUCCGCUAAAAAGUUUUGCAGAUCUAAUUGAUUAUGACGUCGAGCUAUCUUACCUUCUUCAGUCACAUCCGAAUUAUUUGUUACCAAAAUUUGACGAAGGCGCUUGUCAAGCUCAGGGUUAUUUUGGAUGUUGAAAGACAAGGAAA
This is a long non-coding RNA of Papaver somniferum (opium poppy), 371 nucleotides long. RefSeq lists it as uncharacterized. The record is from RefSeq and is a predicted model, not a curated record. The transcript has 3 exons. Lineage: Eukaryota; Viridiplantae; Streptophyta; Magnoliopsida; Ranunculales; Papaveraceae.